This 253-nucleotide ribosomal RNA is filed under the name uncultured prokaryote. Its description in RNAcentral is "partial 16S ribosomal RNA". It matches the Rfam family "Bacterial small subunit ribosomal RNA", at positions 524 to 776 of the family's 1533-position model. The record is from RNAcentral.
UACGUAGGGUGCAAGCGUUGUCCGGAAUUAUUGGGCGUAAAGAGCUCGUAGGCGGCUUGUCACGUCGACUGUGAAAACCCGGGGCUCAACUCCGGGCCUGCAGUCGAUACGGGCUGGCUUGAGUGCGGUAGGGGAGACUGGAAUUCCUGGUGUAGCGGUGAAAUGCGCAGAUAUCUGGAGGAACACCGGUGGCGAAGGCGGCAUCCUGGACCGGCAUUGACGCUGAGGAGCGAAAGCCAGGGGAGCAAACGGG